Long non-coding RNA from Homo sapiens (human), 1649 nucleotides. RefSeq lists it as uncharacterized. NCBI's taxonomy places the organism in Eukaryota, Metazoa, Chordata, Mammalia, Primates, Hominidae. The transcript is spliced from 3 exons. The record is from RefSeq and is a predicted model, not a curated record.
UCUGAAGCUGUGCUCCUCACCAGGGUAGAGAGAAUUAGAACAGUCCAUUCCCCAGAGCAGAAACUGUGGGUAGGCGCCAGGAGGGCCACUUGAAGUGGCGUCUGUCAUUCAAGAAGGAUCUUGAAGACGACUCACAGCAUUAUCUGCCAGGGAGACCGUGUCCCCAGAAGGAUGGAAAAAAGACAGCUGGCAGCCAUAAACCAACCUUAAAACACACACAUAGGACCUGGCAACAAAAUCUGCAGUGCACUGCGAGUCACUGUGUCUUAAGGGGUAUAAUUACAUGUUGCUAGCACAAGUACGUACACAUACAUUCAUCUAUUUAAAGUAUUAAUUUAGAGAUUGUAAGCAUUUGAAAUACACGACAGUUUCUGUAAUCCUAUAUUAGCAUUUCGCCAUUAAAAAAAAACCCAGCUUAUCAGGUCAAGAAAUAGAAUCAUCUGGGCCUUCACCCACCUCUGAUGGCCUGAUCCAUGAGUAAGCUGCUGAUGCUGGGACGGAAAUUGCAUGUAAAUGAUGGGGACGUUGGUGCUGGGGAAGUGCAGUGAAACUGGACAUGUUCAGCAUUUGUUCGUCCAAAUAUAAUUGCAGAUGUGUAACCACCUACAAGCACAGGAGAGUCCAUGCACAGAAGCCCAGAUCCCCAGCAGCCUCAUCUUCCCUUGAGCAAAACUUUUCUUCUCCAUCAUGAGAUGAAGGAACCCCAACCCCUCCAUCAGGUACUUUGAAGAUGUUUCCACUUCCCUUCGAAGAUGUUCAAUGUCCGUACAUAGAAUGAAAGGUGCCACCUUCUCCAGCAUGAGACAUAUCCCCAUGUGAUCCCUUACCACGCAGACUCCUGGCUGAGUUAGGAAGAAAGAAUAGAAGUCAAUGCAUUCCAUUUGUUUUCAAGGCACACCCAAAAAGACUCAGAAAACGAUGGAUGGCAAGUACUCCCCCUUUCCAAAGUGAGGUGCUGACCACUGGUAAUGCAGUAAAUCUUGAGGGUAUCAAAGGAUUGAAAUGGAAGAGCCCUGAAAAUUGGACAUUAAAAAGGCAUUAAUUUCAAGAGCAUUUUCUCUGUCCUGUAAUUUCCCCUCCAGUAUGAGAUUGUGGUGGGAAGAUGCACCUCUCCACUUCACCAGGUGUGAGAUGAAUUUUGUUUCAGUUUGAUGUCACUCAGAAAUAGAUCCCGAGACAAGGUUUCAAGUUCUCAGGGUUUAUGUGGAAGAUAAUCCAGAAAGCACUAGUGGAGAAGUGGGAAAGUGAUACAGGAAAGAGAACCAACAAAGGAUGUGUUACCCCACUGAUGUCAACUGGAGUAGGAUCCCACUAGGAUACGCAUGGUCCUGGGUUCUCAUCUUGGGCAGAACAAAGGUAAGAGGACAACCUGGGCCUUUAGAUAUGUGAUAUGGGAGAGACAUGACAUCUGAAAUGCAGAUACCAAAGAAAUCAGGGAAACGUAAAUCCCUCACGAUUUUACAACUAACUUAGGGAGGGCACUGGCCAUCCCCAUCACAACCAUAUAGUAAUGGCAAACACAGUGACACAGGUCAAGAGAUACAUGGUCAACACAUUAUUAUUAUUUUAUUUUUUAACAUUAAUAUGUGAUACUUGCAGAUAUUCUUUUAUUUGGAAUAUCUCCAUCUCAUUAAUUCAACAUUAUCCAG